Molecule: ribosomal RNA, 460 nt
Filed under: uncultured bacterium
Lineage: Bacteria
Description: partial 16S ribosomal RNA
Rfam family: Bacterial small subunit ribosomal RNA
Source: RNAcentral
CCUACGGGUGGCUGCAGUGAGGAAUAUUGGUCAAUGGACGAGAGUCUGAACCAGCCAAGUAGCGUGAAGGAUGACUGCCCUAUGGGUUGUAAACUUCUUUUAUAUGGGAAUAAAGUGUUCCACGUGUGGAUGUUUGUAGGUACCACAUGAAUAAGGACCGGCUAAUUCCGUGCCAGCAGCCGCGGUAAUACGGAGGAUCCGAGCGUUAUCCGGAUUUAUUGGGUUUAAAGGGAGCGUAGGUGGAUUGUUAAGUGAGUUGUGAAAGUUUGCGGCUCAACCGUAAAAUUGCAGUUGAAACUGGCAGUCUUGAGUGCGGUAGAGGUGGGCGGAAUUCGUGGUGUAGCGGUGAAAUGCUUAGAUAUCACGAAGAACUCCGAUUGCGAAGGCAGCUCACUGGACUGCAACUGACACUGAGGCUCGAAAGUGUGGGUAUCAAACAGGAUUAGAUACCCUUGUAGUC